Neopelma chrysocephalum (saffron-crested tyrant-manakin) is the source of this 1818-nucleotide long non-coding RNA. RefSeq lists it as uncharacterized. The record is from RefSeq and is a predicted model, not a curated record. Lineage: Eukaryota; Metazoa; Chordata; Aves; Passeriformes; Pipridae. The transcript is spliced from 3 exons.
AGGAUGGGUACACAGUGUGGUAGAAGCUCAGAAUAUUCUGCUACUCUGCUUGCUGCUGAUGCUGAUACAAUGUCUGUCAUGGCCUGUGAUUAAUAGCACAUAGAAUGCUGGCAGAACAGGAUUCCAGCAGAGAUUUUUUUCCUGGUGGAUUGAGAAGAGCAGAACCAGCAGAACUGCCCGUGCAGAGGGUGUUAUUUCAGAAGAAGAGCACUCCCUCUCUCACAGAGUGAUCCGAUAUGCCUUCAGUCUGGGGGCAGGAGUGGAAAGGAGGGAGGAGAGGGGGAAUAAGGAUGCUUCCUUCCCAGCGCUUGGGGCUGCUGGCCAAGAAUGCAAGUCUAAAUUCAAGCCCAAGCGAGUGCUGUGCCAGAUCCAGAGAGUUUGGAGUCCUUUUGUCCAGAAGCUUGCAAUACGUGAGGGAGUUGCCAAAUGGGAUGUGUGGCAUCCAUGUUAUAUAUCUGAUGCAUGAAAACUGGUUCCUACUGAGCUUACUGUGUUGCCUGAGGCAAAAGUACUUCUGAUUCCCUACAUGAUGCAGUGAUCACCAGACCACUGCUGUUCUCCUUGAAUCCGGCUACAAUGGCAGCUCAGGACAACCUCCUGCCUCGGGUCAGGCUGAGGCAGAUGGCAUGCACAGGGAGAGGAAAGGUGGUGCUGCAUUUGACCCUGCUCUCCCUCUCUGGGAAGGGAGGACCUGAUGCCGUUUGCAUUUCUCCCUAGGCUGAACCAUUAAGUUUGAUGACAGAAGUGAACCUUUCCCCCUGGACGUGGGCCAAAAGGCCUUUUUUUUCCCUCUCCCUUCCCCUCUUGUCUCUUUCAUAACCGUCAUUUUCACAUAUCUCUGGAACAUAUCACGUACUACUGUCAUGUGCUCUAGGUGCGCUCCCCUUUUUUUCUUCAGCUAUGUCCUGCCUCCCAGCUGUCAAAUAAGAGCCUCUCCUUGUCUGGCUGAUGCUUUUUUGCCACAGAUGACAUGGUGGACUAAGGCCAUUGCUUCUGCCCCAAGGGAGAGCCUCCGCAUUGAGGAGAGAGGGAAAUCUGCUCUGGAAACACCACCUACAAGCCUCCAUGUCAACAGGGCCAUAGCCAUUCCUGUGGGAUGAGAGUGCCUGUGUUCCUGUGCCUCACCAGAAAGUUCAACCAGUUGUGCUUGUGCAAACCCUUGGAGGGUUCUGAGGUUGAGAAGGUGUCAGUGAGGACGUAGCCCAGGUUGCAGAACUCCUAUGACAGGCUGUGCUGGACAGAGAGGGAACUUGCCUUGGUAAGAAUUGUUUUUGUGUUUUAUAGGGAUGCUGAUGGAGGACACCAGGCAGGGGGGAAUUCUGUGAUGACACUUCUCAAGCCAGUAGUACCCAGUAUGGCUUUUCCAUUUUUAUACUAACAGGGUUCAUAUCAAAUGCCAAGGUUGCUGAGGGCUGCCCAUGGAGCAACUCUGAUACAGGACAUGCUGUUGCAGAGCCCUAUGCCAGAGCAUUACUUCAGGCAGUGCUUAGGCAGAGGUGGAGCAGACGUAAUUUGGUUUGAUGCAGCGUGGUUCUCUUAGGCUUGAAUUCCCACUAAUCCAGUUCUUAAAGAGCCCACCAGGAUGUGUGGCAAGAGGUUUAUAUAGCUGAAGUUCAUACCUGGAUGCAGGCCAUUGCUAGAGAGACAUUGCUAGAGAGAUGUCCCUCAUCCUCCUAACGUCAGUCAUGAUCCCGACACAUUUCUGGGGUUUCUUGUCAAAGCCCUGCUGCUGCACUGAGAGCAGGAGCUGUGGACCAGAAAAGGAGAGCUAAAGCUUUUUCCUGGGGCUAUCCACCCUGAGCAGCUGUGCUGUCUCCU